This 400-nucleotide ribosomal RNA is filed under the name uncultured bacterium. Its description in RNAcentral is "bacterial SSU rRNA". It matches the Rfam family "Bacterial small subunit ribosomal RNA", at positions 355 to 752 of the family's 1533-position model. The record is from RNAcentral.
UGAGGAAUAUUGGACAAUGGGUGAAAGCCUGAUCCAGCCAUCCCGCGUGAAGGAAUAAGGACCUAUGGUUUGUAAACUUCUUUUCUACAGGGAUAAACCUACCCACGUGUGGGUAGCUGAAGGUACUGUAGGAAUAAGCACCGGCUAACUCCGUGCCAGCAGCCGCGGUAAUACGGAGGGUGCAAGCGUUAUCCGGAUUUAUUGGGUUUAAAGGGUCCGUAGGCGGACUCGUAAGUCAGUGGUGAAAUCUUGUCGCUUAACGAUAAAACUGCCAUUGAUACUGCGAGUCUUGAGUAUAGUUGAGGUAGCUGGAAUAAGUAGUGUAGCGGUGAAAUGCAUAGAUAUUACUUAGAACACCAAUUGCGAAGGCAGGUUACCAAGUUAUAACUGACGCUGAGGG